GACGAACGCUGGCGGCGUGCCUAAUAAAUGCAAGUAGACCGCAGUUGCGAACGGGUGAGUAACGCGUAGGUAACUGCCUGGUAGCGGGGGGUAACUAUUGGAAACGAUAGCUAAUACCGCAUACUACCAGAUGGACCUGCGUUGUAUUAGCUAGUUGGUGGGGUAACGGCUCACCAAGGCAACGAUAAAUAGCAGACCUGAGAGGGUGAUCGGCCACACUGGGACUGAGACACGGCCCAGACUCCUACGGGAGGCAGCAGUAGGGAAUCUUCGGCAAUGGGCGAAAGCCUGACGAGGCAAGGCCGGUGAGUGAAGAAGGUUUUCCGAUUGGAAAGCUUCUUUGUUUAGGGAGCGGUACCUAACCAGAAAGGGACGGCUAACUACGUGCCAGCAGCCGCGGUAAUAC
RNAcentral lists this ribosomal RNA (406 nucleotides) under uncultured bacterium. RNAcentral's name for it is "partial 16S ribosomal RNA". It matches the Rfam family "Bacterial small subunit ribosomal RNA", at positions 28 to 526 of the family's 1533-position model. The record is from RNAcentral.